UAGUGAGUUUGAUCCUGGCUCAGAACGAACGCUGGCGGCAGGCCUAACACAUGCAAGUCGAGCGCCCCGCAAGGGGGAGCGGCGGACGGGUGAGUAACGCGUGGGAACGUACCCUUUGCUACGGAAUAGCCUCGGGAAACUGGGAGUAAUACCGUAUACGCCCUUUGGGGGAAAGAUUUAUCGCCUUUAGAGCGGCCCGCGUCUGAUUAGCUAGUUGGAGAGGUAAAGGCUCACCAAGGCAUCGAUCAGUAGCUGGUCUGAGAGGACGAUCAGCCACACUGGGACUGAGACACGGCCCAGACUCCUACGGGAGCAG
This 316-nucleotide ribosomal RNA is filed under the name uncultured Alphaproteobacteria bacterium. RNAcentral's name for it is "bacterial SSU rRNA". It matches the Rfam family "Bacterial small subunit ribosomal RNA", at positions 1 to 351 of the family's 1533-position model. Lineage: Bacteria; Pseudomonadati; Pseudomonadota; Alphaproteobacteria. The record is from RNAcentral.